This 465-nucleotide ribosomal RNA is filed under the name Vreelandella stevensii. RNAcentral describes it as "partial 16S ribosomal RNA". It matches the Rfam family "Bacterial small subunit ribosomal RNA", at positions 338 to 795 of the family's 1533-position model. Lineage: Bacteria; Pseudomonadati; Pseudomonadota; Gammaproteobacteria; Oceanospirillales; Halomonadaceae. The record is from RNAcentral.
CCUACGGGUGGCUGCAGUGGGGAAUAUUGGACAAUGGGGGCAACCCUGAUCCAGCCAUGCCGCGUGUGUGAAGAAGGCCCUCGGGUUGUAAAGCACUUUCAGUGAGGAAGAACGCCUGGUGGUUAAUACCCAUCAGGAAAGACAUCACUCACAGAAGAAGCACCGGCUAACUCCGUGCCAGCAGCCGCGGUAAUACGGAGGGUGCGAGCGUUAAUCGGAAUUACUGGGCGUAAAGCGCGCGUAGGUGGCUUGAUAAGCCGGUUGUGAAAGCCCCGGGCUCAACCUGGGAACGGCAUCCGGAACUGUCAAGCUAGAGUGCAGGAGAGGAAGGUAGAAUUCCCGGUGUAGCGGUGAAAUGCGUAGAGCUCGGGAGGAAUACCAGUGGCGAAGGCGGCCUUCUGGACUGACACUGACACUGAGGUGCGAAAGCGUGGGUAGCAAACAGGAUUAGAUACCCGUGUAGUC